Molecule: ribosomal RNA, 253 nt
Filed under: uncultured bacterium
Lineage: Bacteria
Description: partial 16S ribosomal RNA
Rfam family: Bacterial small subunit ribosomal RNA
Source: RNAcentral
UACAGAGGUCUCAAGCGUUGUUCGGAUUCAUUGGGCGUAAAGGGUGCGUAGGCGGCGCGGUAAGUCGGGUGCGAAAUCUCGGGGCUUAACUCCGAAACUGCAUUCGAUACUGCCGUGCUUGAGGACUGGAGAGGAGACUGGAAUUUACGGUGUAGCGGUGAAAUGCGUAGAUAUCGUAAGGAAGACCAGUGGCGAAGGCGGGUCUCUGGACAGUUCCUGACGCUGAGGCACGAAGGUCAGGGGAGCAAACGGG